GCAGUCGAGCGAACUGAUUAGAAGCUUGCUUCUAUGACGUUAGCGGCGGACGGGUGAGUAACACGUGGGCAACCUGCCUGUAAGACUGGGAUAACUUCGGGAAACCGAAGCUAAUACCGGAUAGGAUCUUCUCCUUCAUGGGAGAUGAUUGAAAGAUGGUUUCGGCUAUCACUUACAGAUGGGCCCGCGGUGCAUUAGCUAGUUGGUGAGGUAACGGCUCACCAAGGCAACGAUGCAUAGCCGACCUGAGAGGGUGAUCGGCCACACUGGGACUGAGACACGGCCCAGACUCCUACGGGAGGCGCAGUAGGGAACUUCCGAAUGGACGAAGUCUGACGAACAACGCCGCGUGAGUGAUAAGGCUUUCGGGUCGUAAACUCUGUUGUUAGGGAAGAAAAGUACAAGAGUACUGCUCGUACCUUGACGGUACUAACCAGAAGCCCGGCUACUACGUGCCGCACCGCGGUAUACGUAGGUGGCAGCGUUAUCCGGAAUAUUGGCGUAAGCGCGCGCAGCGGUUCUAAGUCUGAUGUGAAGCCCACGGCUCACCGUGGAGGUCAUUGGAACUGGGGACUUGAGUGCAAAGAGAAAGCGGAUUCCCGUGUACGGUGAAUGCUAGAGAUGUGGAGAACACAGUGGCGAAGCGGCUUUUGGUCUGUACUGACCUAAGCGCGAAGCGUGGGAGCAACAGGAUAGAUACCUGGUAUCCCGCGUAAACAUGAUGCUAGUGUAAAGGUUCCCCCUUUAUGCUGCACUAAGCUUAGCAUCCCCUGGGAUACGUCGCAGAUGAACUCAAGAAUGACGGGGCCCCACAGCGUGGACCUGUGUUUAUUCGAGCACGCGAAAACUUACAGGUCUGACUC
RNAcentral lists this ribosomal RNA (863 nucleotides) under uncultured bacterium. Its description in RNAcentral is "bacterial SSU rRNA". It matches the Rfam family "Bacterial small subunit ribosomal RNA", at positions 57 to 987 of the family's 1533-position model. The record is from RNAcentral.